CCUAAAAUCUAGCCUUCAUCAAACUUAUACAGUCUACAACUUUUAACCAAUAAUAAAAACCAUUUAUACCUUUUUAGUAGAGGCGAUCGAAGAACAACUAAGAGCUUAAGAAACAGUACCGCAAGGGAAAAAUGAAAUAACAAUGAAAUAACAUAAAGCCCACUAAAGCAGAGCCCUCAACUCGUAC
RNAcentral lists this ribosomal RNA (187 nucleotides) under Feihyla senapatiensis. Its description in RNAcentral is "Rohanixalus senapatiensis partial 16S ribosomal RNA". The record is from RNAcentral. Lineage: Eukaryota; Metazoa; Chordata; Amphibia; Anura; Rhacophoridae.